CCGCGCGCUUUCCCGGCUGCGCGCCCGCCCGGUCACGCGCCCUGCUCACCGCGCGCUCGCGUGGGGGCGUCCCCUCUGGCCCCGCGCACGCGCGCUACGUCCCUCAGACUGGCUGCCCCCGAGGGUUCGCCCCCAAAUCCUGUCAGUCCACGGCCUUGAUGGAGCGGCCCCCGUGGGACGACCCUGUUGAUUGUGCUAGCGGAUGUUGUCUCCAUUCUGGAUCUGGGAAAAACUGUGGAGUGAAAGCCGGACCUGUUAGGGUUGGGACCUGAAAGCGGACUUUUUCGCUCUCAGACGGGCCCCAGACGGGAGCUCUUUCAGGCCAGUGGUUUGUUGUUCAUCAAGAUAUCCAAGUACCCGGCAACAUUCCUGGCAUAUAAUAGGAAGGCAGAUCUGGUGAAUGAAUGAAUGAAUGGCGGUAUCUGGAGCAGAGACAAUGAAUUUCAUGUUUAACAGAGGUGUCUUCAAGGAGAUGAAACAAUUCAGAAUGACCUAGGCAAUGGGGUAAUUCCUAAGGAACAAGCUAUUCAUUCAUACAGCAUGGACGAAUAUUAAAUGCAUGUUGCUGAGUGAAAGAAGCCAGAAUGAUAAGGCUACAUCCUGGAAAAGUUUAUAUUCUGGAAAAGGCAAAACUUAUAGAGACAGAAACAAAUCAGCCAGUUGUUGCUGGGGUUUGGGAGAGAAGAAUGUUGACUAUGUGAAGAACAAGGGAUCUUGGGGGGCAUCUAUUCCAUAUGCUACUGUAGGGGUGGAUGCAUGAUACUAUCAUUUGUGGAAAACCAUAGAACUUUACAAAACUAACAGUGAACCUUAAUGUCUGCAAAAUUUUACAAAAUCAACUAGGAGGCUGGGGGAUCCCAGGAUGAAAUACAGGCAAUGACAAAAGAGCCUAACUCUAUUACACAUUUAUAACAUAACCGCACCGAAGAGGACUGGUAUUCUAUAACUGUGGAAAUAAUGGAAACUGGAAAACUGAAGACAAAAGGAACUGUACUUAGCACUAUACUCUAGUUGGUAAAGGCGUUUCUCAAGGGGUACCAGUUAACAAUUCUGAGACUGCUGUACAUGUAUGCAGAGACUGAACAAAUAAGUAAAUGGCUGGUACAUGCUCACUCUCAGGGAGGGAGGCCACAGAUAAACAAGAGGAAGAGGCUCUAAUGUCAUGUGUGGUUGUGGAUUAGAACCAGAAACAUAAAUAUGAACUCAUGUUUAGAUUAAUAUAGAUAUUAAUGGAUUGAUAUAGAAAUAAUGAUGAUAUGGGUAUAUAUACAGGUUAGUAUACAGUCAUAUAUUUCUUAUCCCUAUCCACUGAGAGGGCCUAGAAACAACAAUACUCCAGUAGCAACACACACAUCUCGUGCCCAUAUCUUGAUUUCUUUUGCCAUUUCCUAACAAAAGGAGCCAGGACUUCUUGGAGAAAUGGCUGAUUCUAAGACUGGGUCAGAGAGUAUACCAGAUGACGCUGGCACAUCUUCUACUGCUAGAAAGUAAGGAAAUGCUCAAAAAAUAAAACCACGGAGAUAUUUCAAAGGAACACAGAAGCCAAGUGGAACAGCUCCCAGUGGCCAAAGCUGGAAAAAUUGGGGCAAAAAAAAAAAAAAAAGUAUUAGGUUAUAAUCCAAAAUAUAAAAUAAAUAAUCACCAGCCCGUACUAAUGUGCAUAAAUUAUUGAAUAAAUAAGUAAAUGGGUGAAAAGAGAAAACUCUCUCCCAUACAAAGGAAGCCCAAAUAAUUUAUGUAGAUGAUCGCCCUGCAAUGAGGCAGAGGGCAACUCCCUACCCUGUGUUAAGUGUGGAUGGCACUUAGAGACUUGCUUCUGAAGAGCGCAAUACGGAAAGGAGGGGAGAAGUAACUUGGCAAUGAAGAAACCUGACAAACACCAUCUUCUCCAGGCAGCCAAGGUUAACACCAUCAGUGAUAAGUUACGUUGAUAGCCUGUAUUUUUGAUAUGAUGUGUUGAGAAUGUACUUAGUUUCUGUGGUCUUCUUCCCAAACACCUGACACCAGGCUCACCAGGAGAAAAUGAAUCCAAAUUAAGGGACAUUCUACAGAAUACCUGACCAACACUCCCUCCUAAAAACUGUCAAGGUCAUCAAGGAAUGUCUAGGAAGAAGGAAAGUCUGAGAAGUUGUCUCAGCCCAGAGGAGCCUUAAGAAGCCAUGACAGGUAGGGCGCGGUGGCUCACGCCUGUAAUCCCAGCACUUUGGGAGGUCGAGGUGGGCGGAUCACAAGGUCAGGAGAUUGAGACUAUCCUGGCUAACAUGGUUAAACCCCAUCUCUACUAAAAAUACAAAAAAAAUUAGCCACACGUGGUGGCGGGCACCUAUAAUCCCAGCUACUCAGGAGGCUGAGGCAGGAGAAUCGCUUGAACCUGGGAGGCGGAGGCUGCAGCGAGCCAAGAUCGCACCACUGCACUCUAGCCUGGGCAACAGAGCUAGACUCCAGCUUAAAAAAAAAAAAAAGAAGCCAUGACAACUAAAUGGACUGUGAUAUCCUGAACGGGAUACUGGAACAGAAAAAGGGUAUUAAUAAAUCUGAUCAAAGCAGAGAGCUCAGUUAAUAAAAAUGUGUCACUAUUGUUUCCUCAUUUGUUGUAACAAAUGGUGCCAUACUAAUGUAAGAUAUUAAUAAUAGGGGAAACUGGAUGCAGGAUGUGUGGGAACUCUGUACUAUCUUUGCACUUUUCUGUAAAGCCAACACUAUUUUUAUUUAUUUAUUUUUGAGACAGGGUCUCCAUCUGCCUCCCAGGCUGGAGUACAGCGGUGCCAUCACAGCUCACUGCAUCCACGACCUCCUGAGCUCAAUAGAUCUUCCAGCCUCAGCCUACUGAGUAGGUGGGACUACAGAAGUGCAUCACCAUGCCCGGCUAAUUUUUGUAUUUUUGGUAGAGAUGGGGUUUCGCCAUGUUGCCCAGGCUGGUCUCGAACUCCUGGGCUCAAACAAUGUACCCACCUCGGCCUCCCAAAGUGCUAGAAUUACUAACACUUUUGUAAAGUAAAAAGUUUAAAACAAAAAAUAAGAUUGGUAGAUGGAUAGAGGGUUGGAUAGAUAGCUGCGUGAUAAAGCUGUGUGAUAAAAUAUAAGAAAAUAUUAUUGGUAAGAUCUAGGUGCUGGGCAUAAAAGUGUUUGCUGUAAAAUUUCUCUGACUUUACUGUAUGUUGGAAAAUAUGCACAAUAAAAUGUUGGCAAAAAGAAUAUUAGUAUAAUUCAGAGUUAUUAAUGUUGCUCAUGUUUUUCUUUUUGCACUGUCAUCUUUCUUUUUUCCUUAUUUAUUUAUGGGCAUGAUUAUAUAUAGAAAGUUUUAAAAAAAUUUUUCCUGUUGCAUUUCAUUUCUGACCAUUACUACCAUUCAUUUUUUCAUGAUUAUUACUGAAAAUUAUUUUGUCAUGUGGAAGAUUGUUUUAAAAUUAUACCCUCUGGGUAUCAAAUCAUUAGAUAUGCCACUGCCAAGUAUAACCGAAUGUGUACUACCAAGGGGAUCCCCCAGC
RNAcentral lists this long non-coding RNA (3488 nucleotides) under Homo sapiens (human). Its description in RNAcentral is "HSALNT0167595". The record is from RNAcentral. Lineage: Eukaryota; Metazoa; Chordata; Mammalia; Primates; Hominidae.